This is a long non-coding RNA of Psammomys obesus (fat sand rat), 603 nucleotides long. RefSeq lists it as uncharacterized. The record is from RefSeq and is a predicted model, not a curated record. The transcript has 3 exons. NCBI's taxonomy places the organism in Eukaryota, Metazoa, Chordata, Mammalia, Rodentia, Muridae.
CCGACGACCUCUGCCUCUUCCACUAUAAGACCUAGAACCUUGUAUAGAAGAGACGGUACUUUCAUCAGUGGCAUAUCCUUUCUCUUUUUCAGGCCCUCUGGUGGAAGAAGGUCUGAAACCCAUACCAAUCUGUCGCAGCUGUUCAUCAAUCUGCAGGCGUUCCAUUCUUAGUUGUUCCACUUCCUACAAUCAAAACAAAAAAUCAUGUCUGCUCUUUGUGUGGGUGUGCAUGUACAGUAUCUGACCAUAUGAGACCAGAAGUUAACACCUUUACCCACUGACCCAUCUUCCCCAGCCCAAGUCCUAUAAAGACCAUUAAAAGACAUUCCCAGGGCUGGUGAAACGGCUCAGUGGAGAAGGACACUCCCCACCAAGACCAAUGGCCUAGAGGAGAAAACAUAGCUUAAGAAGAAGAAGAAGAAGAAGAAGAAGAAGAAGAAGAAGAAGAAGAAGAAAAAAAAAAGGAGGGGGGAUUUUAAAACCAUGGAAGGAGAGGAAGAUCUCCCCUACCAGUGGACUAGUGGAGAGGAAUAGAAGAGGGAGGGAGCUACAGCUGGAAUACAAAAUGAAUAAAGUGUAAUAAAUUAAAAAAAAAAAAAAAAA